UGGGGAAUUUUGGACAAUGGGGGCAACCCUGAUCCAGCGAUGCCGCGUGAAUGAAGAAGGCCUUCGGGUUGUAAAGUUCUUUCGCCUGUGACGAUAAUGACGGUAACAGGAGAAGAAGCCCCGGCUAACUCCGUGCCAGCAGCCGCGGUAAGACGGAGGGGGCUAGCGUUGUUCGGAAUGACUGGGCGUAAAGGGCGCGUAGGCGGUUGAUCAAGUCAGGCGUGAAAGCCUUGGGCUUAACCCAAGAACUGCGUUUGAUACUGGUUGACUGGAGGACGAGAGAGGAAAGUAGAAUUCCGAGUGUAGAGGUGAAAUUCGCAGAUAUUCGGAGGAAUACCAGAGGCGAAGGCGUCUUUCUGGCUCGUUUCUGACGCUGAGGCGCGAAAGCGUGGGGAGCAAACA
This 402-nucleotide ribosomal RNA is filed under the name uncultured [Caedibacter] sp. RNAcentral describes it as "partial 16S ribosomal RNA". It matches the Rfam family "Bacterial small subunit ribosomal RNA", at positions 355 to 774 of the family's 1533-position model. Lineage: Bacteria; Pseudomonadati; Pseudomonadota; Alphaproteobacteria; Holosporales. The record is from RNAcentral.